RNAcentral lists this long non-coding RNA (883 nucleotides) under Musa acuminata (dwarf banana). RNAcentral describes it as "long non-coding RNA (MACU_LNC006886)". The record is from RNAcentral. Lineage: Eukaryota; Viridiplantae; Streptophyta; Magnoliopsida; Zingiberales; Musaceae.
AGGAGAGUUAAGCAAGUCUUUUGGCCGCUCGGGGCGCAAAAAGGAGUGCAACACGAGGACUUCCCAGGGGGUCACCCAUCCUAGUACUACUCUCGCCCAAGCACGCUUAACUUCGGAGUUCUGAUGGGAUCCGGUGCUUUAGUGCUGGUAUGAUCGCACUCGCUUUGUUUGCGUCGUCCCUCGCCUUUGUGCACGCCGCGGACGGCGUAUCGAUGACUGGAGCCCAUUACGCGCCCCGAAACCUAUCGAACGAUCUCGGAAUCGCCAUCGUCGGAUCUCUCCGAUGCCCACGAGGCCGACCGCGUACCGGACACGGCAAGCGCGCGCCGAAACCAUCCGGACUUUCUCGAACGAACUCGGAAUCGCUAUUGCGGCCCCAUUCCGGAAAGCUCUCUCCGAGCCCCACGAGACUGACUGCGUAGCGGUCACGGCGAAUUCCGAGGCCCAAAACCAUCGCCUCGGAGGUCGACGGGAGAGGUUUUGGCAGCUCGGGGCGCAAAAAGGAGUGCAACACGAGGACUUCCCAGGGGGUCACCCAUCCUAGAACCAUAUCUGAUCAUUGCAUGUUUACGAAGAAAUUUUUAGAUGAUGAUUUCAUUAUUCUCCUGCUAUACGUUAACGAUAUAUUUAUUGUUGGCCAUAAUGCUGGAAGAAUCGAAAAGCGUAAAGGAGAGUUAAGCAAGUCUUUUGGCCGCUCGGGGCGCAAAAAGGAGUGCAACACGAGGACUUCCCAGGGGGUCACCCAUCCUAGUACUACUCUCGCCCAAGCACGCUUAACUUCGGAGUUCUGAUGGGAUCCGAUGCUUUAGUGCUGGUAUGAUCGCACUCGUUUUGUUUGCGUCCUCCCUCCCCUUUGUGCACGUCGCGGACGGCGUAUCGACGA